CUAUCUCUAUCAUUUUCUCAGAAAUACAUACAGUCACAUAUUUUAUACAUUACAGUAUUAUUACUAAAUGAAUUUUGUACACUAAAAAAAGUAUUUGAAGAAUUUCAACUAAUUUAUGUAUAUAUUCCUUCCUUAAGAAUGUAGAAUGUAAACUCCCCACUCUAAGUGUGGGCUGCUCAUAGGGGCUCUGUUCUAAAGAGUACAGUAUGGAAAAGCAUCUCACAACUGAAUACAGUAUGCAUUUUUAUGUUUCUUGAGUAAAUAUAUUUACUCUGUCCAUCUAUUUUUUAAGUCUUUAAAAUAUAAAACAUUAUUACUUAUGGGACUAGGGAAAAACUUAAAAAAGAAAGGAAGAUUUAUAUUGGCAUAUGCAUAUUGUUUUUAUGGUAUAGGACAGUAACUAUACAGCAGAGAAGACUGAGACAUACUACCCUCAGUCAGGUGAUCAACUGUGGUAAGUCAUGUUGAUAAGUCAUCAGUGAUCACAUUCAUAGCCUAUGGCCUUGAUAUCAGGUGAUGAAAAUAGUGAUUUACCUCUGUGCUCUUCCUCCCCAAAUCUUCCCAAACCCUUGUCUAGCUGUGCGAAAAACAUCAGACAAACCUAAAUUAAAGGACAUUGUACAGAAUGUUUGACCUGCACCCCUCAAAAUGCCAAGGUUAUCAAAACACAAGAGAAGCUAGAGAAACUGUCACAAUCUAGAGGAGCCUAAGAAGACUUUAUAACUAAAUGUCAGAUGGCUCCUGGAUGGGAUUCUUAAGCCAUAAAAGGACAUUUGGAAAAAGCAAGGCUGUCUAAAUGAAGAAUAGAAUUUAGUUAUUAAUAAUGUAUUACUAUUCUUAUUAGUUGUGACAAAGUUCUAUAGUAAUUUGGGUAUUAAGUAACAUGCUUGUUUUUUUCUGUAGUUCCAAAAUUAUCCUAAGAAAAAGUUUAUUAUAUGUUUUUAAAAAGUAUUCUUUGUGUGGGACAUAAUAAUUUGACCUCAAAUCAGCAAUACAAAAUAGCUUACAAUAAGCUGCAAAUGUGGGAUGUGUAACUGUUGGACUAACAUCACCUAACAUGUCCCAGGUUAGGGAGAAGAGGUUUCUGAACAGAAGCGUAGAGGUUGUUUGUUUGUUUGUUUGUUUGAGACGGAGUUUCGGUCUUGUUACCCAGGCUGGAGUGCAAUGGCGUGAUCUCAGCUCACCGCAACCUCCGCCUCCUGGGUUCAGGCAAUUCUCCCGCCUCAGCCUCCUGAGUAGCUGGGAUAACAGGCACGCGCCACUGUGCCCAGCUAAUUUUUUGUAUUUUUAGUAGAGAUGGGGUUUCACCAUGUUGACCAGGAUGGUCUCGAUCUCUUGACCUUGUGAUCCACCCGCCUCGGCCUCCCAAAGUGCUGGGAUUACAGGUGUGAGCCACCGCGCCUGGCCAGAAGUGUAGAGUUUAUCAUGCUGAUCAGACAGGGACAGAGGUGGCCCUAGAAACCAGACCUGCCCAAGAAACAGCUGCAGAAGUGGGAGGAUGCAUAGUGAGACAGAUGUAAAAUAGUAUCCAGAGAAAGGAAAAGGAUCAGAGUUGGUGAGGCUCAGCAAGACAUAACUUAAAAGUUUUUUAAGUGAGUAGAAGAGAACAUAGAAGCAAUGGAAAUGUCUGUGGACCACUUUCCAGCAGUACCUAUUUUUAUGUUUCUGUGCCCUUAUAAAUGCUGCUGCUUCUGCCUGGAACACCCUUCUUUUCCCUUUUCAUGAACUCUCUUUCUUUCUUUACAGUUGAGUUAUGAUAUUACCUCUUUGGGGAAUGGUUUCUAAAUCUCCCAGUUGAGCUAGGUGCCCCUCCAAUGUCUUUCUAUGAUCUCUUGAACUUUCUAUUAGAGCAACAGCUCUGUUGACCUGAACUAUGUCUGUUUAUCUGUGUGUCUUCUGUACUAAUUAGUGAAUUUCUUCUUGGCAUGGACUCUGUCUUUUUUGUUUGAAUCUCUGUAUGCUCCAUGUGUGGUGCAAAGUGCAGUUAAAGUAAAUACACUCUGUGCUUGAAGAAUAGAGAGACUGGAAAAAUGACACAGGGCACCCAUCUUGGAGCCAUUCAAGUAUUUGACAGGUUAUCAACAGAGAAGGACCUAGACUGUUAUAUUUUGUGAUUCAGUAUAGACACCAUGGGCCAUGUGGCAAUCCUCAAUUAAUACCUUGCAUUAUUCGGAUCCUAACACUUGACCUACACAUAAUCUGCAAACACACAACCAAAAGUUGAUCUUAGGGAAUUGAAAGAAACUAGUGACACAAAAAUGACAAAUUGUAGGAAAAUAAGACUUCAGGAAAACUGUAUGGAAAUUCCUCAAUGAAUUAAAAAUAGAACUGCCAUUCAGACCAGGAAUUUAACUACUGGGUAUCUAUCUACCCAAAGGAAAAUAAAUUAUUUUAUCAAAAAGACACCUGCACUUAUAUACUCACAUGUUUAUCACAGCACUAUUCACAGUAGCACAGUCAUGGAAUCUGCCUGGGUUCAUCAACAGUGGGUUAGGUAAAGAGAAUGUAAUGUGUGUGUAUCUACUUACACCAUGGAACUAAAUGUCAAUGAAAGGAAUGAAAUUAUGUCAUUAGCAGCUACAUUGAGACAGCUGGAGGCCGUUAUCCUAAGUGAAAUAACUCAAACAGAAAAUCAAAUACUGCACAUUCCUACUUAUAAGUGGAUGCCGAACACUGAAUAUACAUGGACAUAAAGAUGGAGACAACAGACAGUGGGGUCUCCAAAAGCAGGGAGGGUAAGAGGGAGGGAAAAUCCCUAUUGAGUUCUAUGUUGACUAAGUGGGUGUUGGGUUCUCUAGAAGCUCAAGCCCCAGCAUUAUGCAUUAUACUCAUGUAACAAACCUACACAUAGGCAACUUUCCUUGAAUCUCUAAUUUAUAAAAGACUUCAGAAGAAAUGAUAAAGAAGUUAGUACUUUGUUUCUUUAGAGGUCUAGAGGAGAAGGCAAUUUUAUAAAAAUCUAGGCUAGGCAAGGAAUUUCCAUUUGCUCCGGAAACAGAAGAGGCAAUGAGCUCAAACUUGUCUACAAGGAAAAAUUAUCCAUCAGUAACAACUGUUUAUCUGUAAGAUUCAUUUAGGGAAGUGGUCAUACAACUAUAUUCAGGAUAGAUUUUUAUCUACUGGGGUUAGUUCCUGCUUAAUCCUGUAUGAAGUUAAGUCAGGGAGCUAAAUGACUGCUGCAAACUGCUUUGUCCAGCCCUGAGAUUCAAUGAUUCCAUUGGUGAGAGUCCAUUUCUACUUAUAACAUCCAUCCUGGAGAUGUGUGAUUCUGAAAGUAAACUUUAAGAUAAAGCAUUACAGUUUGGAUCUUCCGAAAUGAUCUCCUCUAAGUUGUUCUACACGCUUGAGCCUCUGAUGGUCGUGAAUCACUGCUAAUCUCUUAGAAACAUAUUUCUCCAGAUAACAUCAGUUUCUCUCAGAAUACGAAGAGGAUUGCAUUUCUUUUAUGCUUCUGGUGAGAAUAAAUGUAGACAUUUCCUUGAGACAGAAGAAGUUAAGAUCACUUGGGGUUGAUAUCUGGCUCAUAAACAGACAGUUCUUUGUGUAUAAACCCAGCUGACCCAAAGCAGCAUCUGGCUUGUUCCUUGCAGUAAUUGUGUGUUAAGACAAAACUUCCCAUAUUUUCCUUUACUCACAUAUGCCAGUCGCCACUACACUGCACAGACUCUAUCUCCUUUGACAGCCUGGUAACUUAUUCGAUUGUCUUUUAUAGCAAUCUCUGAAGAUAUGAUGCUAAUGCUAAUACUAUGAGAAUAUUUAUCCUGGGUGUUAUUUAACUAGUUAUGAAAGCACUUGAAGUUUUACAACAGCCAAAUAAAUUCUGUUAUUAUGCCAUUUCAAGGACUGUGAAGUCUGUUCUAAGUAACAGCAGAAGGGGUGCUCCCCUUCACUUUUCCUGUUUAUUUCUGCAUUUAGAUCUCUGGAAGAAAAGGCAAUUCAGACAACCUAAAAACAAAAGGCAAGAUGAGCAUAUUCAAGUUUCCUUUUGACCUUGUAGCUCUGAUAUGCAAGUAGCAAAUUGUCAUUUGAAAAAUAAACCCUCUCAACUACCACCCCAGCUCCUGCUUUUAUAAGGAAAAAGAAGCCCGAGGCAAACAUACUCAACUAUUCUAGGAAAAAUUUAAAAUAUGUAUGCAGCCAUGGGGAAUUCCAGUAUGUGAAUGGAAAUACACAGUUCCAAAUGCAAGCUGCUGUUAGGGUUACUGUGCUCUGACCACUUAGGCCGAAAGUGAAAGAGGCAUUAAUUAAGUAAUAACGAUCAAGGUAUGGAGCAUUUCCUGGGGAUUAAUGACCAGCUGGGGGAGUUGAUAGCCCACAGUGCAGCCAAGAGCCAUUAACCCCAGCUGGUCAUCAAUUCCUGGCCCUGUGUUAUAGUCAUUAUUGCUAUCAUAAGCCAAAAAUGAAAAGCAAAUGGGUCUAUGGAUUACUUUUAUGGAUGAUGCUGUUUCAAUUGGUAUCUACAGGGCAUUCCUGGAGAAUGGAUGCUCCCUCUCUGAGCCAAUCAGGUGUUUUGACAUUCCAUUCUACUUAGGCUGCUGCCUGGGAGGAAUGGAGGGUGAAUGAGGUAGGCAGCCAACGGUUGAAAAGUUUCAGGUCUCUGUUGACACUUGAGAGCUAUCGAAACCAUAAAGAUCACAUGGAGGAAGAUUUGGGAAAAGAAAAGGAAAUGUGCUAUAUAGUUAGGUGGGUGUGUUUUCCUGCGGAUGCCACAGUUUAGUGUCUUUUACUAUGAAGUGGAGUAAAAUCAUUGGAUGGUAAUGAGCUUCGUAGAAGACAGAAAGUGCCAAUUUACAGUAGGACAGAGGGAGAUGAAAGGACAGUGUACUCUAUUGGAAAAAAAAAUCCCAUACAUUAAAAUAAGGAAUAUGGAGGGACUGUCAGCCUACAGUGAUCAGGUUGGACAGAUAGAAAUUAAUUAUAUUUGGUUUAAGAAGCUGCUUCUGCAGCCUUGGUCAAUUUUAAAAAGCACAUUAGAAGAUACCUCAAACUGACUUUCCAAUUACCAUGGAUGACAGCAAAGUGCGUUGAAACAAAACUCAUUUUAAAUGGGUAAAUGCAUUCAAUGCUGACUGACAAUAUUUUCAAAAUUCAUAAAUUUCAUCCCUGGUCAAGGUACUUUGAAGGAGAUUCCAAGGAGAGUUGACUUCUGCUAAAGAAGAAUAAUAGUAAUGGGAGCCCUCCCCCAUCAAAUUAAUAAUCUCAAAUGCAGUGGGACCGUAUAUGUCUAUGCACAUGUCAGAGGAUGCGGGGAGCAAAUAAAUAUUAAAUUGAAAAAUGAUUUUGUACCACAAUUUUAAUUGUAGAAAAAAAUUACAAAGGGAUGGAGAAAGAUUUACCAACCAAAUGGAGAGCAAAAAUAAAUGAAUAAAUAAAAAGCAGGAGUUGCAAUUCUCAUAUCUGAUAAAAUAGAUCUUAAAGCAACAAAGAUAUAGUGGUAAAAGGAUCAAUGCAACAAGAAGAGCUAAUGAUCCUAACACCCAGAUACAUAAGACCUAUAAAGAGACUUAGACUCAACGAGACAGAAAAUUAAUAAGGAUGUCAAGGACUCGAACUCAGAUCCGGAACAAGUAAACUUAAUAAAUAUUUAUAGAGCUCUCCACUUUAAAUAUACAAAAUAUACAUUCUUGUCAAUACCACAUCACACCUACUCAUAGGUUUAAAUGAAACAUUGAUUGGCCAUUAUUAAUAUCCAUUUUUUUUAGCAUAAAGCAACAUUUCUCUUCUCUCUCCCUCUUUUUCUUCCUCUUUCUUCCUCUCCUUCACUCCUUUUUUUUCUUUCCUUCUCUCAGAAAAAGAAAAAAAAGAAAUCAACUUGUAGACCUCUAGAUCCAGGUCGGCAAUGUCUCUCUCAUUGCUCGAUUUCCUUCCCUUCUCUCCCUCCCUCCCUCCCUUCCUCCCUUCCUUCCUUUCUCCCUUCCUGCUUUCCUCCGUUCCUGCCUUCCUCCCUUCCAAAAAAAAAAAAAGAAAAAGAAAAAAAUUGAUAGAAACCAAUGUCCAAAUCCAGCUUCUCCUAGUACUUCACAGUGACUUAGAGAUGCAUUUUCUAAUUGAGAGUUGUAAGAAGUGAAGAAAUUGAGCUUUAGGUAGUUAUUUUCACUAUAAACAAAUUUUUGAAAUAAGUUUUUUUUUUUUUUUUUUGGUGAAGAGGAAUUGUUUGCAAAACAAAACAAAGUAUACCAUGUGUUUGUGUGUAAACACACUCCCACAAAAGUUAAAGCUGGGUUCAAGAGACACUAAUAAAAGUCAAUGGCAAAAUAAUAAAUUGAACCUUAGUGUUUCUGUGGCUCAAGAGUAAAUGUUAAAGCAUAAUUUGUUAAAUACAAAUAGCAUCACUGGCAUAAGUUUUUUUUUUUUCUGGUUGUGUUUUUAUCGGCACCAUUUUUAAAAAAUCUGUAAUGGUAAACCAUUUAAGGGAAGGAAGGUGAUUCAUUUUGUUGAUGGACAUUGUGUUAGUUUAUUGAGUGUUGUUGUAAAAGAAUGCCUGAGGUUAGGUAAUUUAUAAAGAAAGAGAUUUAUUUGGCUCAUAGUUUUGCAGACUGUCUAAGAAGCAUGGCACUAGCAUCUGUGUAAGUUGAGGGCUUCAGGCAGCUUCCACUCAUGGUGGAAAGUGAAGUGGAGCACGCAACUGCACAGAUCAUAUGGCAAGAGAAGAAGCAAGAGAGAGAGGGGAGGUGCCAGUGUCUUUUUAACAAUCAGCUCUAGGACAAACUCUUGUGGAAACUAAUAGAACUUACCAACCUCCCCUCCUCCAGAGAGGGCAUUAAUCUAUUCUGAGAGAUCUGCUCCCACGACCAAAACGCUUUCACCUCCAACACUGGGGAUCCAGUUUCAACAUGAGAUUUGGAGGGUCAAACAAACCAAACUAUAACAGACAUCAUUUUAAACUCAGAGCAUACAGUAUAAUCUGGAUUCAGUUAUGUUUAUUUGACUCCCCAUUAUGCAUAGAAGAAUUAGCCUAUGGGUGAUAAUCCCUGAAUGUUUCAAAUUCUCCUCAAUUCCUCUAGUAUUAUUCUUAAAUAUUUAUUGAUCAUUAAGAUAGAUAAGAAAAAUUUAAAAAGUAAUAUUUUUGCAUUCUCUACCUACCAUCCAGUAGUAUGAAGGAUGUAAGCAAAACAAAUCAUGUUGAGUUAAUUAUUUUUAACUUCAUCUUUCAUCACUUCCAAAUCCUUGUCCGCUCUUAGGGUUUCAGACACACGUCCAAGUGGAUGAUUUCCAAAUCUCCAUUUUCAGUUCUGAUCUCUCACCCAAACUUUCAUCUGGAAUUUACAGUAGGCUUUGAGACCUUUAUAACUUAUGGUCCUGCCAACUCCUGAUAUUCAAUAGCCCCCAAGCUAGAAUCAGUACAUUUCCACUCAUAUCUUUCCUUUUUUAAAAAAAUCACACUUCGUUUCUGGAACUAUAUUUUCUGCUUUGACUCAGGCUAAAGACCUUGAAAUGAUCCUUAAUUCUGCCUUUACAUCAAUCUGCCUAACUAAAUUGUCAUUAGGUUCUAACACGCUUUCAUGUGCAGAGCAUGGCCCAUUUUUCUUUAGGCUCCUUACUUCAUCUUAUCCUCUCCAUUGUCACCAGAUGAGUGGACUGAUACAAACAUGAGGGAGCUGGCUGAGUUGUCCUCUUCAACAUUUCAAUCAACAGCUUAGACAAAAUGUACGUGUCACUAUCAAAUAGAAGUUAGAUACAAGUCUGAACAGAAUAAUAAAUAAUUUGCUCGAUAGAAUUAGGAACUGCAAAACACAGACUUCCCAUUUCCUUGCUUUGUAACGUCUCGAUGGUUCUCCAUUGCCUUCAGCCUGGAGUCUGUGUCUCUCAGUCUGGAGCAGCAGUCGCUGUUUCUUGUCAUUGUGUUCCAUGUGCUCUGUGCUGUCCAACAAUUUUUUUUAUGUGUCCUGCCUUUUCACAGCUUAAAACUUUCCUCAAGGGGCUCCAUCAUCUGGAAAUAACCUCCUCCUCCAUGUCUUCUUGAUUCCAAAAAAUUAGUACCCAUCUUUCAAGGACUAGCUUGAAUGACAUAUUCUCUCGGUAGUUUUCCUCAAUGCCCUUGAUCCUCUAACUAGUGUAAAAAUGUGUCCUCCUCUUUGUUCCAAAGGUAAUUUUUCAUAAGCAUUCCAUGAGAGUGUUAAUCCUUUUGUGGUUUCUUUCUUUCUCAGUGUCCUUGAUGUUUGUGUGAGCCGUCCGAUGGCAGGAAACUUUCUCUCUAAAUUCUUAGCACCCAGAAGGAGGAGGUACACCCAAUGCGUGCAUCUUAACUCAAAGAAAGGAAAGAAGAAAAGAAAGAAAGGAGUGAAGGAGAAGAAUGAAGAAGAAGAAGGGAGAGAGAACGACUUUGUGACCGGGAAAUUUGGAAGCCAAGCAUAGGACACCAGGAGAGGAUGGAUGGAAGCAAUAUUUAUCAGAAUUAGCAUUGGAAUCUCUGACUCAUAUCUGGAAUAUCAUCAGCCAUUAGCACCAGACAAAAUGUAGCCACUGACAAAUCUGGGAUGCUAAAUAUGUUUUACAGGUGAGCUACAGGUGGUUGGUGGUAUGAAUGCAUCUGUCAGUCUUGUUCCUGGGAAUCCAUUUGUGACAGCUCUGCCACACCAUUUGACAAUAAGUGACUCAAGUUUAAGAACACUAACUGCUUUCUUUUCCAUCUCUCCGAAAGUAUAUUUAAAACACACUUUCCUGACUCAUACAUUUACUUAUACAGGUCACCACCAGACCUAGCCUUGAAAGAAGUAGAUGCUGAUGGGUUAAUAAAAAAGGAGUAUCAUGAGAAGUGGUGACCAAAGCCCUCUGCUCAAAAGUUAUCCUAAAAACUAGAGUUGACAUUGUUGUGAAGAAUAUUAAAAUGGAACCUUUCCUGUUAUCUAAUAUUGGCUGAAAUUCCAGAGCCAAGAACUCUAAGUGCCCUCAUUCUAAAAUGAGUUGCAGGAUCUUUGCAGACAUUCACAGAAGGAGACUUCAAAUUGCCUUGUUGACUCCUAAGUAUCACCCACCCUAGGAAAAACCUACUCUGCCAGAGUUUGGUGCAGCAGGAUAAUGAGUGCUUCCCUUGGAAAGUGUGACCUCAAAGAUGGCUUUGGUUCUCCUGGACUCGGCAUGAAAGAAACAGCCACAAGACAAUGUGAAUCCAACAAAUAACAUCUGUGGAAGUGGACUUCCAGAAAUCAGGCAUCAAGUCAUAAGCAGCUGGUCAAAAGAGGCAGCACCUAUGUUGGAAAAUGUCAGUGAGAAGUCUCAGGAAGUGUAUAAUAGUGUGUGUAUGUGAGUCUCCAAAAACUUUCCUAAUGGUUCAUGGAAGAAGGCAAGAAUUCGAAUAUUCAGUGAAACCCAAAGGUCACUUCUGUCUCAUAAAUCUCUCUCAACCUGUUUUCAACCUUGGAGAAGACAGUGGCUCAGGAUGUUGGGAAAAAUGGUGUGGAAAAGUGAGUGGGGACAUUGGUAAAAGUUGAACUGUGUCUUUCCUGAGACAGAGAAGCAGAGAUAUCAGAAAUGUUCAUUUGAAUGAAAGUUUGGGUGUGGAAUAUUAAAUGGAACUACCCUUUCUAUUAACUAAAAUAUGUGACUGUUUAUUCAUACCUGAGAGUGACUGGAAAAGCUAGAGGACCUGAAAUAGAUGACUCAUGGGUAGGAAAAAAUGAACAAACAGCUCUAAAUGAUAUAGAAAAAAGAAAUAAAGUACUUUGGGAAUUUCAUCUCUAA
Molecule: long non-coding RNA, 9681 nt
Organism: Callithrix jacchus (white-tufted-ear marmoset)
Lineage: Eukaryota; Metazoa; Chordata; Mammalia; Primates; Cebidae
Source: RefSeq, a predicted model, not a curated record